GCACAUGCGCAGAAUCAUCGUGGUGCACGGCUCUCCCGUUGCUUCUUCGGUUGCAGUCCUCUUGGCUUCUUGCGCGUGCGUGUAGCGCUUUUGCAAAGCCGCGGAGGUGAAGCUAACGUAGAGGCUGUGGGGCCAAGGGGUCCUCUUAUAGCUAUCAGCCCACAGGCAUUUAGUCUACGUUGGAGGUAAACAAAUACGGGUCCAGCUUAGGAGAAAACAAAAACGUCUUACAGCCAGUGUCUAAACUCCAAACAACGGAAUGUAUCAAUGAGACCUUGUAUAUGGAUACACGUGCAUUUAAAACCGCCCUGCCGGCGUGUAGAGCUCUUGCCGUUCGCCAGCGCUUUACAGGGGUUAUCGCACUUAAGCCUCGGAACAACUUUACCAGAUGAGGACACCUGAGGCUCAGAUUACGAAAUCUGCCCCAAAGUCUUAGAACUGGUAUUCUCCACUGGUUGAAUGCAAAUGGAAGCCAGAGGAAAAGGGAACCCUUGACACAGUUUUCAUAUAGACUGGCCUCCAGGGCAGACAGCAGGAGGGGGGUUUAAUCUGGACUGAAUUGGAGGAAAGGAACUGGCACCAGAGUGGAGGCUGGAAGGAUGGUGGAACUGACACUGGGACAGAACACAGAAAACAGAAUAUAAUGCUAUUGCUCUGGCUGUAUCAAAUAAAAGUGUCAAGAGUGAGCAUCCUUGCAUUGUGCUGAAUCACAGAGGAAUACCUUUCAAUUUUUCUCCAUUGACUAUGAUAGCAGUGGGCUUUUCACAUGUGGGCUUUACUGUGUUGAGGUACCCUAAUGAUAAGUUCACCCCAGUGUUUUCUGAGGAGUCUACCUGGAAAUGAGAACCAUCUGUCCUUCCUAUAGUAGUUCUUCUCAGAAUGCCGACUCUAUGCUAAUGGAGGAGGUCUGAUGGCCGGGAGGAUGGGAAGAAGGAACCCACAAUGAAGCAAAAGUCACGUUUAACUCUGUCCUCACCAUUCCUCUCCUGGGCCUGUCCUAAACUGGAAGCUGGGGGAGGAUGGAGUGCUGGAAUGCUGUAGAAGUCUCAUGGGAGGGCGCCUGGUGUUCACCACAUGUGUACACUGUUGCACGACCAGAUGAAAAUUUGAAUGCUGGGGCUCAGUGGAACACCUGAAGGAAGCUGGUGAGGCAGAUGUCCCGCCAUGCCUUCCAAGUGUCAUGCAACCAGUUCAUGCCUGUCAGCAUCUCUACCGGUAGACUCUGUGAGUCAGCAAAUCUACAGAGCAGAGAGCCACAGGUGGGGACAGAUGUGGUCAAAUGCCAUUUAAAUCAGUGAUUCUCAGCCCAGGAGUUGUCGUGGCACUGGCCUUGAGUGAGCUGGACCAAGCAAAGCGGUAGAAUUCCCCAUAAAGGACCAAGUGAGCAGAUAGAAGUUUCUCCAUUUUAACUUUUUCUGAGUCAAUUUAACAAACAACCUAGUGCCUUUUUCUGU
Molecule: long non-coding RNA, 1454 nt
Filed under: Pongo abelii (Sumatran orangutan)
Lineage: Eukaryota; Metazoa; Chordata; Mammalia; Primates; Hominidae
Description: lincRNA
Rfam family: Deleted in lymphocytic leukemia 1 conserved region 1 (bases 126-315)
Source: RNAcentral